GUGCCCUUACCUGUCCCGCAGGUUCCGGGAGAGUCACGUUCAGUGCAGUCUCUUCCCUUUUGAUGACGGAAUUAAGAGUCUGCCUAAAGCCGGGGUCAUGUGCUAUGAUGUUAGCGUCAUUAAGCCGUGUGGGAUCCCGGCGUUUCGUUACCGCGACGGUGUAAUAGGGAGCUCCGUUUCCUCUCGCUUGGGUAUUACAAGACCUUUUAACUAUUGUGAAAAGUAUUUAGACGCUUUGUACGUCUCAGUACAUCAUAUGUGUACAAACGGAGUGCUUUCAGAUAACAUUGUACAGCAAGUAAAAACUAUGUCUGCUAAUAAGCCAUGAAAAAUCAGUAUAGCACGUGAACUGUCAAGAAUAAGGUGUUGACCAGAGAGCUCCAAAGGUCUGUGCGUGGCCAACGGUGAGGGGCUUUCAUCCUGCACAUGCUUGCUUCCGUCUUAAUAUAUCAUUGGAGUCAAGUCGUCAUUUUCCCUGGGACUGCUUAGUUGCUCACAGCUAAGUACAAAGAUAUUUACAGAAUCCGGUGGUUUUUUUUUUUUUAAUUGUUGGAAUAAUAAUUAUUAAUUUUAAAGGUCUUUCUGUAUUUUAUGUUAUGUAUCUAUUUUGUGCGUGUAUAACAAGCUAUAGACUUGCUAAGUGUAGCAUGAUACACAAAUUUGUCUUCUACAAUACGCUGCGUAGCAGUUUAAGAAGCAUUCUCUUCUAGCAGAGUUGCAUGUGUUGAUUUGAAAAAUUUUAUUUCUCUUUUUUAUGUGACCUUUCUUAAACCUCUGUGUUUUGUUCAAUCUAGACAUAAGCAUUUUAAGAGGAAUACUGGAUACCAUGAACAACAUAGGUAUGCAGAGUGCAAUCCUUUUUUGUGUAGAGAUUACUAAACCAGCAUAUGUUCUUUAAAAUGACUUUUCACAGCCUGCCCAAGUCAAUCUCUAUGUUGGUUUUUUGUGCUUUCCUUCUACUUUCUUAUUCCUAUAGCCUGCAGGUUUUUAAAAAACCUUUAGGUUCUUUAAGAGUAAGCAAUGCUAUGAAAUAUAGGUAAUAUCUUCGGUCCUUGGAGGUCCUGACAGUUUUUCUGGUGACCUGAAAACAAAGAUGUCAUUGCUUCCAGUUUUUUAUCAACAGGCUGCCAGAUACUCAAAAUUUUUGGCAAACAGCUUUCUUAGCUAGCAAGUUAUGAAUGUGUAAGUCUAAUGUAUCAGCUUUUGUAAACUCAUUGUAGGUUUCAAUCUACGGCACCGGAUUCAUAUAAGAGGAAUCACUUGAAGUCACCAUUGUAUUUUGAGGAUUUCAGCAUUAAAGUAAUCUCCGUUAUGUACUUAAUCCAAUUUGGAUCCAAAUCAAUAGAAAGUCUUCCAUCAACUGUGAUGGCUAUUGAUUCAGGACCAAUAAAGACAGCUAGUAGUAAUUUGGUAUCAUAACGUUGUCUCCUUCUCCGAUACAGAAUUUAAAGUCAGAAGGUUUUUGCCCAGGCAUUUGCCUUAUUUCCUUCUCUGCUUCUUUUACAGUGAUCUUACUAAUGCUUGGGCUUUCUAAAUAAAAUCUUGUUUCAUUGAAGUAGAUUAGAAUUUUGUCAUUAAUUUAAACAUACUAGAGCUUUAUCUUUUGUCUUUGGUAUAGCACAAGUUAAGUAUAUACUAUUCAUCUUUAAAUUAGGGUUUAAUUAUUCAGCACCUUGUAGAAUCAAGAUCUAUCUGUUUAUAUAAAGUAGCCGUAAGGCUUGUCACUGGAAUAUCACUGAAUCGCAGAAUAGCUGAUGUUGGAAGGGACCUCUGGAGAUCAUCUAGUCCAACCCCCCUGUUUAAGCAGGGUCAUGUAGAGCAGCAUGUGGCCCAGGAAUGUGUCCAGAUGGCUUUUGAAUAUCUCCCAGGGUGAAGAGUCUGCAGCCUCUUUGUGCAAUUUGUUCCAGUGUUCUGUUACCAUCACAAUAAAGAGAUUUUUCCUCAUGUUCAGACAGAACUUCCUGUGUUUCAGUUUGUGCCUGUUGCCUCUUGUCCUGUUGCUGGACACCACUGAAAGCAGUCUGGCCCAAGACACAGCAUGAUAAAUUUAGAGCUUGCACAGCAAUGAAUUCUGCACUGGCCUUCCCAAAUUGUCCUGCUCUUUGUGCAUUCAGGCAUGCAAAGUUUUCCAAGAAGUUCUGUGAAGGAUAUGUAAAGUUAGUGUUUUGUUUACAGUAGAGGAGUUUUUUUUAUGGACAUUUGCAGUUUAGUCAGAAAGUCUGUUCACUGCAUGAGCAAGCUCCUUUCACAAAAAAACAGUUUGUCUUCGGCUCAUGUAUGCUUAAUUUUAGAUUUAUUAGCUGUAUCAUACUAGAGUGAAAUGUGAGGUGGAAGUUGGUCUUUUUUUGUUGUUGGUUCAGCAUAUCAGUCCCGUUUUUUGUUGCCUGCCAUCUUGAGCUAAGCAUAUAAUAGUUGUUAGGAAUUGGUUAAACAAAUAACUGGAAACAAAAAGGAGGAGUAAGUAGUCAGUUUAUGAAGGGAGCUUACUGGUAGAGUCCCCCUAGAUUCUGUACUCCAUGCUGUCCAUAAUAUUCUUAAGCAAUAUUCUUAAGUGAUCUGGAGGAGAGGAUUAAUAUUGAAGAGAUGAGGUUUAUUACAGAAUGCUAAUCGGUGUGAUCAAAACAAUAAGGAGUAGCAGAAGAAUAUCAUGAACUUGAGUGAAUGGGAAAACGUCAGUUGUCAUUAACUGUUGAUGAAUGAAGAUCAUUCAUCUAGGGGAAAGGAAUUCUAAUCAGUCAGUAGGUAUGGAGAUCUCUGAAUUAGCUAUUCCUACUUAGGAAAGAGGUGUUAGAAACCUUGUAGGUACUUUUCUGAAUGCUCAUCAGUGGUCAAAAAGGAAAAUAGAAAUUUAGGAAAUAUUAGGAAACAGGUAGAUGAGAAAAAAAUUGAAAACAUUAUUAUGUCGACAUAUCAAGGGUCUGUGCAUUCUCUGUACUGUAAAAUCCUGAAAAAAGAAAGAAUAGAAUAGAAAAUGAUCAGGUAGCACGUUUAAAACAACAGAAGCAAAUAUUUUUUCAGGCAAAGUGUCAUUAAAUUCUGGAACUCAUUUCCACCGGAUCUUUUGGUUCAAAAGGUAAGUGGUUUAAAAGGCAGUUACACAAAUUCACAGAAGAAAACUCCAUUAAGGGCUAUUAAGCAAUAGAAAAUCCCAAAGCUGCAGAUUGCUAGAAGCCGGGUAAGUUUACUGGAAGAAAGAUGGCUCCGCUGUUGCUCAUUUUUUCCAGUCUUUCCGUAAGCAUCCAUUAAUAUCUCAGAGGUAGGAUACUGGGAUAGAUGGAAGUUUGGUACAGCUUGUAUAUCUGUUCUUAUAUUUUAAGGUUCAAAUCUUGCCAGUCUUACAGACCGAAAGUCUCUGAAACAGAAAUCACAGUAGCACUAUCUGGCUAAAUUUGCAAGUAUCCAGUGGCAAGUCUGAGAGAAGUACAACUGGUCCGUUUGUAUCAAUGGAUGUAUGCUCUCUAGCUAAUUGAUGAUAAUUUGUACGUCAACACUGGUGGCCAUAACUCCUGAUCAAAGAAAUAUGAAAGAUCAUUUAAAAAUGUGCACAGUCUUCAGAAAGUAAGCUGGGUGGAGCUUGAGAAAGUACUCUGUACAGCCUGUGAGAAAGUGCUCUGUACAGCUGUCUUGGCAGGAUGCUGAUGAAGAUGCUAUUACUAAAUGAAUUGUCAAGAAAAACAGCUUGAGGGCUUCCAUCAGUGAAGCAGUAAUGUUUGUGAAAGGCGGGCCACUUUAUUCUGCAAGGUAGACACCAUGGCUUCUGCGUUCAGUCCCAGCUAUGUAUUACAAUAAGGUGAACUAUAGGUAUUGCAGAUCUGAAACACCCUCUACGCUCUGCUUGCUCCAUGCAUCACAGUCACCUGGCAAGAAGAGUUUAGAAUUGAGGAGUCAUCUUUCUUCUUCAAUUUUUUCAUGUUAUAAAAGGUAAGAGGAACAAAGCCAGUGGAAGGUGCUAGUAAUGCAAUUUACCAGUGUACACUCAUUAUUGGACUGUUCAUUAUAAGCUAGUCCCGACCAGUCACUGUUCCCAGGCAAUGACGGUAAGCGGGUAUCAGGCUGUAGUGAGAUUUUCUUUUACAGCCUUGGGCCCCCUUAUAAUUUAUUAAUUUUCAUGACCACAGACAACUUUGAUGGAAAACCAUGCAGUUUGGGUAAUCCGAGGACCAUUGACCUACGCUACUUUUACAUUGUACUUUUCUAUCUAUAAAUCUCUUACCUUUCUCGCAACUGGAUGCUUGUAUUUUUUCCAAGGUGUUACUGUAAUUUUUCUCAGAGUUCAUUUAGAUAACAUAAUAGAUAGUAUUCCUGAAUACAUCAACCCCUUAUUACUAGUAAGGUAAUCUUAAUGGGAGCAAGGAUAGAAUACUUUAAGGAAAACUCUCGUGCCAGCAAAACCCAAGGCUCUCCAGCUCUUGUUUUUUGGUCUUUUCUGACAGAAAAUAUUCAGGGUAAUAGUAAGAAACAGAUCAAAUCCUAUCACAGAGCUAUUGAAAAGGAGUCCCACUAGAUGGGGUUAUAGUUUCAAAUGAAGAGGAUUUUUUUAAUCUGGUUUGAGGACAGAUUUUUUUGCUUGUUAUUUUGUUCAAGUUACCUACAUAAUUCUGUGCAGUUAGCAUAGGUUCUUUUUCUCUCUUCAGAUCAUAAUCUAGAUUUUUUUGAGCUUUCUUGAAUUAUUUCAUAGUCUUUCAGCAUAAGCUAUUUUAAGUUUAUCUGAUGAAAUUACUGACAUGUUCUGAACAGUCUUGCCACUUCAAGCCAAACUACAAUACGUUUUUGUUUAGCAUGAUUUUUUUUUCUCUGUGCCCAGCUCUACUCAGUCCUUAUAUUACAGGCUUCCCAUAUGCCAUAUAGAAAAAAAAUCCAGCACAAAUCAUCUUUAUUUGGAAUUAGUAACAUAGUUGGUGCCAUCCUGUAUGAUCUGUUUGGAAAAGAGGUUUUAUUUUUUAUUUGUUUUCUUGAGCAAAGACUGCUUAGCACAGGGGUGCCCUAUAACUGGGUUGAAGUGCUUCUGCAUUUAAGUAAUAAAUAAUUUUGUUGAAUUUAAAUAAUAAUUCUGUUCUUAGGUCCUUCUCAUGGUGUAGUUUCAAAAGAAGCUUCUCAUAUGAAAAUGAAUCAAAUAUACUAAUACUAAAAGGAAGAAUGCACACACACAAAUGUUGUGAAGACAAAUUGAGAUUGUUGAGCAAAAUUAUUUUUUGGCAUUACCUGAUUUGUGAUUAUUUUUAAUAUUUAAUAAUAUGGUGCCAUAUUUGUUAUUUUUAUGGUGGGCACACUUUCAUUCUUACACCAAUGUAAAUAACGCCAAUAUACUAACGCCUUUGAAUUUUUGUUUUAAGAAUGAUGAGAAACAUCUCAAGAGUCAUUCCCACUCUCAAUCUAAUGAAGUUAUUUGAAAUUAAUUAGUGCUAAAUCACUCUUAUCUACCGUUUUUAAAACAAAGUAUACCAAAUGAAAUUAUCUUUUACAAGGACAGCAAAAAAAAAAAAGAGGCAGGGAGGAAUGGAAAGGGAUGAGAAGACAUGGAAAUUAAAAGCAAUCUAGUGAUAAGCUCAAUGUAGUGAGUUGCACCAAUUGUAAAAGGUACUGGGAAAUUAAACAAUUUAUUUUUUUUAUGAUCUAAAACAUAUCAAAGCCCUAUUUCCACAAAAUACUUUGAAGCGUAGGUUCCCUAGUCAAGAGUAGGAGCUCUAAUUUAGUAUAAAUCCUGAAAGCUGAAGCAGUGUAAAGCCUUAAUGUAAAUUACGUACUGUCAUAGUCUUUUCAUAUGCAUAUGCAAUAGCAGAGACGUCUCUUGAUAGCUAUCCAUAUUUAUCGAUCAACUUCUAAUAAUUAUCUGGGGAUCCCAAAUUACCAGUCCCUUUUGUACAGGAAAACAAAGAGAAGACUAUAUUGGAGAGCUGAGUUUUUAGUAUUACGGAGAAACAAACAGGAUUUUAUCUUUAAUUUCUGUGAUCUGAAUUCCUUUUGAAAAUCAGAGCUGUAUACCAAAGGAAGAAUUAAAUUUAGUACAAUCCAUUUACAGCCAACAUGCUUUUGUUGGAACAAUGCUACUGUGUUGGAAUGAAAAUCCUCAGCUGUUUCAAUAUGUUACUAUUUCAUUUACAAUGAAAUUCCCAGUUUUAGGCCCGCAUCUCUGUUUUGCUCCUUUGUAGGAAUUCCAAAUGUGAUGAUACAGUUACCUGAUAAUGGAGACCAUCAAUUGUAUAUAGUAGAUAAGGUUAAUUACUCCUAAAAUGAACAAGGAUAGCUACCAAUUGUAUAUAGUAGAUAAGGUUAAUUACUCUUAAAAUGAACAAGGAUAGCUACCAAUCAACUGAUGCAAUAGUUGCAAAAAUCUUUAGUGUAGUUUAAUAAUAAUAUAAAAUACUUUUGUUUACUGUAGUGCCAUGCUACAGACAUAUCAGCAUGAACGCAGAGUUCUCAGGUAUCUGUGUAACUUGCCAUGUGUUCCAGUAACCCGGAAAUAGUGCUGCAUCAUCAAGCAAGUGUGCAUCUUUUUUCAGUAUACCUUGUGUCAUAGCAACUGCUACCAAGGCUGAUAAAGAAUGAACUGGAGCUGGAUAAAUUAGGUUAGAGGUGAGUUUCUGACGAUACAUUGAACCUACAGAAAGUCAUCACACUAUGAGUGAAAAAAACAAGCACAACAGGUGAGUGGAAUAUGGGUUGAGGGAAAAGAGAAAGAUAACAAAAGAGGUUAUUUUUGACUUGACUUCUGAAUCAAUGAUUGUCGGUCUUUAAACUUUUUAUUUUUUGCUGGAAAUCUGGCAGAAAUACAGUUAUUUAAUGCAUGAAAGAAUAACCACAGAUAUAAUAAAGAAGCAGUGAUUGUGUUCUUCUAAAUACAUUUUUAAGUAAAAUAAUCACAAUCACUGAAUUCAUAUACUGACUGCAUUUCAGAAUAUUCCUGCAGAACCUUUUUAAUAAUAUAUGUUUUUCCCCAUAGUUCAAAGGUGGCAUUAGCAAAUGGACACUCAAUUACAAAAGAGGUCGCUGGAGACCCUCCAAGCCAUAGGUCCUCUACUAAUCCUGUGCCUGGGUCCUUUGCCACACUGGGACACAGAAGUCCAUUUCCCACCAGAGGAUACUUACAGCCAAACUGAGAUCAAGGAGAUACCAUUUAGCAGAUAUGUUCACUGGAUUAGGCUGUGAGCUUUCAAAAAGGCAAGUGCUAGAACUGCAGAAGAAUUUAAGGUGAGAAUCUGAAAAUUAAGACUCUGUUCCCAAAAAGGUGAUUCCUAGUGCCUCUUUUGGUCGUGGAGGUUUUCUGUGCUAUCAACAGGCCAGUUACACUUCCAAAUGGCAGUCCAGGCAUCCCGUGUUCUGGACAAAGAUGUACAUAGAGUUAUCUAAGAGGGGUCACUAUGUAAGAAGAGCAUCUGAUCUUUUACUGUUCACAGAGGCUGCACUUGAGAUGCAGGAUAAGGCAGGCAACUAAUUUCACAGGACACACCUUCUUUAACAUAGUAGUGGCAAGCCAUCCUCAUUUUAUCUAAUGUCUAGCAGAGCGCUUCUCAGGAAGUGACUGAUUUGAGUUCGAUUCCCUACUCAGGUUUAAAUCCAUCUCUUCUGCCACUCAGGCAUCCUAAGUUACUCAGUCGGAUUAAGGGCAAAAAAUGUGAAUAAUUUCAGCAGCCCGCAAUUAUUCUCCAUCCUUCCUAUUCGGUUUAGGCGUGGAUGCGCUUUGGCAGUGGCAGGCAACAUAGCAUUCAUGUUUGCAGGCUGUUCCAUUUAUAACACCUUUGUAUAACCGGUUUAAACUUGUUAUACUUUAUUAAGUUUGCUGUGAAACUGUAUUCGGUGAUAUCUGUUAAAGCUUUCUGUUUUCAGUCUUCAGUACUAUUGGAUUUCUUUUUUCUUGCCUGAAUAUUUACUAGUUAUUGUAGAAGGAUUCCAUGCAUCGUACGCUGCUGUGUAUUCCUGUUCUUCACGCACUCAUCUCUUGGUAACAAUUUAUGUUUUAUUUCUUGUACUAAUCAGCUGCGAUAUCUUAAACACCUCUUUAAUUUAAAAAACAGUCCUUACUAUGGUGUUGGUAUUAACGUGCUUUAAAUAAAUAUAACAACUUCAAUCUCUCUAUCUCUCUCCACCAGGAUGAUCAGCCAACAUAUUUCAAUGACUUCUAUACGUUGACAAAUGAGAUACUAUUAAUCUUUUCUAGCUGGUAAAGUACUCACAGAUUUAUUUCACCCUCUGGAUUUGCACAUAUUUCACAAUAAUAGGACAGUCAUUCGUGCUGUAUGUAAAGUGUUAUCACCAUAGAAAUGGUGAAGCGUUACUGAGAGCAAGACUGAGAUGGUUAAACAACCAUUUAAAAAUUACAAAAUAUUUUAUAUUCUGCUGUUUCAUGAGUAUAUAGAAACAAAAGCUGCACAAUUAUAAUUCCCUGUGGUUUUUAAUUUACUUCAUGUGAUCAAUUAUCGUCUGCCCUGUCCAUAUGACAGUUUAUUUAGAUGUAUUUUACAGUCAUUAUUUGCUAACCUGCUGUAUUUGUAUGUGCAUCGAGAAAUAUUCCAUGUUAUUAGAACAGCUGAUGUUGCUGCAGAUAAAUAGGAUAUAGAAUGCCUUUUUCAUAAUCUCUUUUAAAUACAUAAUUGAACUUUGGAUUUUUCUGUAAGAGCUUUGCAGAGAAAUUUGACUUGUUUUGGGAAAGACAGGAAGGAAGGACAGUGAACUACGCACUCGCGAUGUCUUCCUUCCUCGAAGAUGAAUAGUCCACUUCCUUACCAGAAGCAUCCAUGUCACAGGAUGUAGCAUGUUCUCUUUUCCAAAUAAAAAAAAAUUAUUAUGAUGACAAAAAGGUGAAAUAAUUAUGGGGAAAAUAAUGGAAGUAUACCAUGUAAACUAUUUCAGUCACCAUCUUUCCUCAUUUUUAAGUGUGUUUAUCCAUAUACAUUACAUGGAACACUGCUAGAUGUUAAUAGUCUAACCUUCUUAUUUAUCAGCAGUCACGCUCACUGAUUUGACUUGGGAGAGGAUACUACAGGGGGGACAUACUCCUUUUGGUGGAGAAGGACAUACGUUUUGGACCAGUAGGUAAUCGAAGGAAAAGAAACGUUGCUGUGAAAAUUACAACGCUAUCAGAAUGUGGCUUCAUCAAGUGAGUGAGAUCCAGAUUUGGAUAAAUAUAGAACACUUCUUCUAAUUAAUAUUGUUCUAUAUUUUUUAAUUGCCUUUGCUUUAUAUAUGUAUGCUUCUCUUCUACUUUCUUAAUGGGUUUUAGCUGUAGAAAUUAUUGACAACAAAAUCUCUAAGUUAAAAUACUGAAGAAUCCUUGUCAACAGAAAAUUGCAGGUUGGUUACAGGUGCCAGCAGUAAAAACCAAAUGCAAGAGUCCAAACUUAAACAGGAAAAAAGAAAGAUGAUAUUUGACCUUUAUAAAUACAGAACCUACUUCAUUCACCUGAGCCCCAGGUGAAUUUAUUUUGAGCAAUGGAAAUAGGAUCUCAGCCUUAACUGUAGUGGGAGCUACUUAACCAUGUUUUAUUACAAGAAUCACUUCAUCCCUGAACCACAAAUAGUUGCAGUUUAGCAGUUUACAGCAGAUUGUAUAAUUUAACAGAUGAAAUAAAGAAUAUAGUGUAGUCAAUUCAAAAUACUGAGAAAGGUCAAGAAGGCAGAACAUAUUUACUUAAACCUGAAUUUACUCAGGAGACACAGAGUGUAAAUAUGAAAGAUUCCAAUGUAUAUACCUGCAAACAAAAUCUUUUCUCUAUUGAAAUUUCAGCUAGCGUUGUCUUUAUCCAGUUAAGUCUGUCUGUUCCUGGUACUGCUGUUCCUCCAUUUCUCUGGAGUGAAGCAAAAGGUUAUUGAGCCAUAGCCUGGCCUCCGGCUCAGUACUUGGUCAGUAGAAAAGCUGUGAUUAUUGUGAUUACUUGAAUAUAUCCCUGACCUUAAGUAUCGCAUAUUUCACCAGUUAAAGAAGAAUUCAGUCCUCACUUUCUAUGUACUACUUUUAUGAAGAGAACAGAACCUGAACUGUAACAGUGAUUUAAGGUGUUGGAUGUGAAAGAGUGCAGAUGCUGGCACGUGUACAGCACUCCUCUUUGAAUGAUAUGUACAUAUACUGCCAAACAUUGUAAGCUAUGUUCGGUGGCCUCCUGCAACAGGGAUGGUCAUCGCCAUCACCACUGCUUGCCCCGUGACUCAGAUUUCCCAUCGGGGUCUUCUCUUCAGAAAAUAACUAGCUCUAGUUGUCAGUUUGCAGUGCGUAAUGAUGUAAAUAGCUUGCAAUAGCAUAGCUUCAGCUUUUUUAUUGGAACAUUAAUACCAUUCUGUAAAUUACUCAUUAUUUUGAAUCUCUCUUUUGGUUUGAAGAAAAGCAUCCUAAAAUGUACACCAGCCAAAAGCUAUCACUAAUAGCUAGUGAUUAACAAAGCAGGGCUUUAAAGAGCCAAGUAAUGUAAGUAAUGAAAAUGAGUGUGUAUGCUCACAGCAUACUCAAUCAGCCUAUCGAUAUAAGUUACAGGUACAGAGAAAUUGUGAGUACUGGUGGUAUAUAGCCAAUUAAGGCCUCUUCUGAGAAAGUUAGAAGUUACGAACAUCUGCCUGCAGUACACAACACGCUAAACUUUAAUGGAAUCAGUUAUUUCCCUUGCAGCUGUGUUCACAUCUGUAUCAUUUUUCAGAAUUCCCUCUUAGAUGAUUAUUUGGCUUUCCUUUAUGGUUCUUUUUUAGUUUUUUUGUAUUUAUUUUGAAUAUCAAGCCUUGGACACUGCCUUCAGAGCUUCAGAAAAGAUUAAAAAAAACAAAGUAGUCCUAGAACUGCUGGAGUAUAGGUGUAUUUUUAAGUCAGUUUAGAAGCCUCUUUCCUUUCACACAGAACUGGAGUUCUCUAUAAUUUUGCACAGCCAUAAUGGGACAGAAAGGAAGAGCACUCAUUUUGCUCAGCAUGUUCCCCUCCCCUACUUGCUGUUCACAUAUAGCUAGUCAUGUAACAGUUAAAUAUUUUUUCAAAAAGCAGGUGAAUAAUGAUAAUGCUUUUUCCCAGUAUGAAAACUGAGGGGUUUUUUGAGGAUCCAGAUAGAAGUGUUCUCCUUCAUGGCACUCCAUUCGCUGGAGGACUUGGUAAAGGUUUUACUGUAAAGAUUCUUGUAAGCUCUUUUUAUUCUUAUGCAAACGUGGCAAAGGAUGGAGGGGGGACAAACAAAAACAGACAUUCAUAUGUGUAACUCUUUUCAAACAAAUUACAUACUCUCUUCCCAAAGUGAUAGCACAUAUGGUUCCUUUCCUUCAUGGGCAAAAAGGAAAACAUUAGAAGUCCUAUCUUGUAUUUCCUUUUCCAGGUUAAACAGCGGCUUUUGUUAAUGCAAGUAGGGAGUCACUUGCCCAUUUAGCAGGCAAAACAUGUCUGUAAGAGAUCCCCUUUUCUUGUAAAGAUUUCAGUCCUGCAUUCUCUGUGCUAGCAUGAUAGAUGCGCAUUUUAUGUCACAAUGGACCUGCCUGGCCUCCAAGGUCCCUGAGGAUCUAGAGAACUGAAUCCUGUAUUUCUUCCAAACGGAUAAGAUUUGCAGGCUGCACCUUCAGGACUUCCCCUGAAGCUACCAAUUUCCUUUGAAGGAAGCAUAAGCCAAUGUAUCCUGAAAACUGUGGAGCCAUAGCUUUAACUGUUGUCAGCUGAAUAUCUCAUUGAUUGUAUGAGGAGGCCAGGAUGGUCCCCUCUAAGGAUCUGGGCAUGGAUUGUAUGUGUCUUAUUUGCCUCGCCCUCUACAGGCUUAAAGCCCUCUCUCCAACUUAAUAUCAGGUGCCAAGUGUAUUUCUUUUCUACUGUUGGGAGCUCAUUAGUACAUCAGCAGUGUCACCCAUCAGUCACAAGUUACUCAUAAGGCAGCAGAAGACAGUUCAUAACAAUAUUGCAAUCAAAGAAAUAAUAAGUGCCCUGAGGAAAAGUUGGGAGCCAGUUCAUGAUUGCUACCAGUAUCUUCUGACAUCCAAGCCCAUGUGUCAUUUUAUAUUUUAUCAGUAUUCUAUACGUUAUUGUUUCUAAUUUUGAAGUAAAACACAAUUUUGUUUAGCAAUAACUUUUUAUUUACAUACAUGACACACAGCUCCCUUGCUUGCUGCUUAACAGUAGAGGCCUGCAGGAUGUGUGUGUGUCUGUGUGUGUGCCUGUGUGUGUCUGUGUGUUUUAAAGAAGUUAGGUGGUCUAUUGAUUAAGAACACUGAGGAAUUGAGGAGCAGGAGGAUUAAAGGGCAGGGUAAUAUGGGUGACACUGUUGUGGGGGUAUACUACAGGCCACCUGAUCAGGAGAGAGUUGUCGAUGAGGCCUUCUACAGACAGCUGGAAGUAGCCUCACGAUCACAGGCCCUAGAUCUCAUGGGAGACUUCCACCACCCUGACCUCUGCUGGGAAGAGAGCACAGCUAGGCACAAACAGUCAAAGAGGUUCCUGCAGAGGACUGGUGAUAAUUUCUUGAUCCAGGUGAUGGAGACGCCAAUGAGGAGAGGUGCAUUGCUAGACCUUGUACUAACAAACAAAGAAGGUCUAGUUGGAGAGGUGAA
Non-coding RNA from Struthio camelus australis, 12495 nucleotides. NCBI's taxonomy places the organism in Eukaryota, Metazoa, Chordata, Aves, Struthioniformes, Struthionidae. The record is from RefSeq and is a predicted model, not a curated record.